UGCAAGUCGAGCGGUAGCACAGAGAGCUUGCUCUCGGGUGACGAGCGGCGGACGGGUGAGUAAUGUCUGGGAAACUGCCUGAUGGAGGGGGAUAACUACUGGAAACGGUAGCUAAUACCGCAUAACGUCGCAAGACCAAAGUGGGGGACCUUCGGGCCUCAUGCCAUCAGAUGUGCCCAGAUGGGAUUAGCUGGUAGGUGGGGUAACGGCUCACCUAGGCGACGAUCCCUAGCUGGUCUGAGAGGAUGACCAGCCACACUGGAACUGAGACACGGUCCAGACUCCUACGGGAGGCAGCAGUGGGGAAUAUUGCACAAUGGGCGCAAGCCUGAUGCAGCCAUGCCGCGUGUGUGAAGAAGGCCUUCGGGUUGUAAAGCACUUUCAGCGGGGAGGAAGGCGGUGAGGUUAAUAACCUCAUCGAUUGACGUUACCCGCAGAAGAAGCACCGGCUAACUCCGUGCCAGCAGCCGCGGUAAUACGGAGGGUGCAAGCGUUAAUCGGAAUUACUGGGCGUAAAGCGCACGCAGGCGGUCUGUCAAGUCGGAUGUGAAAUCCCCGGGCUCAACCUGGGAACUGCAUUCGAAACUGGCAGGCUAGAGUCUUGUAGAGGGGGGUAGAAUUCCAGGUGUAGCGGUGAAAUGCGUAGAGAUCUGGAGGAAUACCGGUGGCGAAGGCGGCCCCCUGGACAAAGACUGACGCUCAGGUGCGAAAGCGUGGGGAGCAAACAGGAUUAGAUACCCUGGUAGUCCACGCUGUAAACGAUGUCGAUUUGGAGGUUGUGCCCUUGAGGCGUGGCUUCCGGAGCUAACGCGUUAAAUCGACCGCCUGGGGAGUACGGCCGCAAGGUUAAAACUCAAAUGAAUUGACGGGGGCCCGCACAAGCGGUGGAGCAUGUGGUUUAAUUCGAUGCAACGCGAAGAACCUUACCUGGUCUUGACAUCCACAGAACUUUCCAGAGAUGGAUUGGUGCCUUCGGGAACUGUGAGACAGGUGCUGCAUGGCUGUCGUCAGCUCGUGUUGUGAAAUGUUGGGUUAAGUCCCGCAACGAGCGCAACCCUUAUCCUUUGUUGCCAGCGGUUAGGCCGGGAACUCAAAGGAGACUGCCAGUGAUAAACUGGAGGAAGGUGGGGAUGACGUCAAGUCAUCAUGGCCCUUACGACCAGGGCUACACACGUGCUACAAUGGCAUAUACAAAGAGAAGCGACCUCGCGAGAGCAAGCGGACCUCAUAAAGUAUGUCGUAGUCCGGAUUGGAGUCUGCAACUCGACUCCAUGAAGUCGGAAUCGCUAGUAAUCGUAGAUCAGAAUGCUACGGUGAAUACGUUCCCGGGCCUUGUACACACCGCCCGUCACACCAUGGGAGUGGGUUGCAAAAGAAGUAGGUAGCUUAACCUUCGGGAGGGCGCUU
RNAcentral lists this ribosomal RNA (1407 nucleotides) under Klebsiella variicola. Its description in RNAcentral is "bacterial SSU rRNA". It matches the Rfam family "Bacterial small subunit ribosomal RNA". The record is from RNAcentral. Lineage: Bacteria; Pseudomonadati; Pseudomonadota; Gammaproteobacteria; Enterobacterales; Enterobacteriaceae.